CGGGUGAGUAACGCGUGGGUAACCUGCCUCAUACAGGGGAAUAACAGUUAGAAAUGGCUGCUAAUGCCGCAUAAGCGCACAGGACCGCAUGGUCUGGUGUGAAAAACUGAGGUGGUAUGAGAUGGGCCCGCGUCUGAUUAGGUAGUUGGCGGGGUAACGGCCCACCAAGCCGACGAUCAGUAGCCGACCUGAGAGGGUGACCGGCCACAUUGGGACUGAGACACGGCCCAG
RNAcentral lists this ribosomal RNA (231 nucleotides) under uncultured bacterium. RNAcentral describes it as "partial 16S ribosomal RNA". It matches the Rfam family "Bacterial small subunit ribosomal RNA", at positions 103 to 334 of the family's 1533-position model. The record is from RNAcentral.